AGAUUGAACGCUGGCGGCAUGCCUUACACAUGCAAGUCGAACGGUAACAGCACUUCGGUGGCUGACGAGUGGCGAACGGGUGAGUAAUACAUCGGAACGUGCCCGAUCGUGGGGGAUAACUACUCGAAAGAGUGGCUAAUACCGCAUACGAUCUACGGAUGAAAGCGGGGGAUCGCAAGACCUCGCGCGGACGGAGCGGCCGAUGGCAGAUUAGGUAGUUGGUGGGAUAAAAGCUUACCAAGCCGACGAUCUGUAGCUGGUCUGAGAGGACGACCAGCCACACUGGGACUGA
This 292-nucleotide ribosomal RNA is filed under the name uncultured soil bacterium. Its description in RNAcentral is "partial 16S ribosomal RNA". It matches the Rfam family "Bacterial small subunit ribosomal RNA", at positions 26 to 322 of the family's 1533-position model. The record is from RNAcentral.